This 189-nucleotide unclassified non-coding RNA is filed under the name uncultured Ascomycota. RNAcentral's name for it is "sequence contains ITS2". The record is from RNAcentral. Lineage: Eukaryota; Fungi; Ascomycota.
AACCCCCAUGCCCCUCGAGCCCUUGUUUGGGCUCGGGGCGGCGUCUUGGGCCCCAGUUGUCGCGGGGAUCGGGCGAUGGCCCGCCCCCGUGUGGCCUUGAAGAAAUCGACAUCCGUCUGUGGGCGCUGGAUCCGUUAGGACUGUCGAGCCCUUUGGGAUGGAGAUGCACGGGCGCUGCUGCGCUGAAAA